AUGAGUGUGUUUAAGGUACCAGCUGGCCUCUGUGACGAGCUUACGAAGAUGAUUCGCCGCUUUUGGUGGGGCGCAGAAAAAGGUAAGCGCAAAACCCAUUAGGUAAGUUGGGAUAGUAUGUUGCGACCCAAGGGAAGAGGGGGGGGGUUUAAAGAUCUAAGAUUGUUCAAUCAGGCCUUGUUAGCACGACAGGCGUGGCGUCUAAUUCAGUACCCAGAAAGUCUUUGUGCACAGGUCAUGCGAGCUAAGUACUACCCGGCUGGUUCCAUCACAGACACGGUCUUCACGGGUAACGACUCCUCGAUGUGGAAUGCUAUUGAGUAUGGCCUUGAGCUAGUAAAGCAGGGCUAUAUAUGGCGAGUCGGUAAUGGCACAGACAUUCGCAUCUGGCGAGAUCCUUGGAUUCCAAGGGGCCCAACCUUUAAACCAAUUACAGAGAAGCGUCGGUCUAGACUGAAGUGGGUUGCUGAUCUUCUGACAACCGACGGGUCCUGGAAUACCACACUUCUUAGGCAACACUUCUUCCCAGCAGAUAUCACGGAAAUUUUGAAGAUCAAACCAUCUCGCCGUUCGGCAGCGGACACGAUUGCAUGGCAGCCGGAUAGACAUGGUCGAUUCUCAGUGAGGUCUGCGUACAAUAUGGCUCGGGAUGCGAUCAUGGCCGGACAAGGAAUUGGGGAGUUGAGUACUAGACCUGAUGGAUCAAGACCGGCAUGGAAGUUGCUAUGGAUGUGUGGAGCUCCACCCAAGGUCUGCGUUUUUGCAUGGAAAGCAGCUCGGGAGGCGCUAGCUACUCAAGAUAAUAAGAGGCGUCGCCAUAUGGAACCCGUGGGAACUUGCACCAUAUGUGGGCAGGAAGAUGAGACGGUUCACCAUGCACUGAUUAGAUGUUCUCAUGCCCGAAUUCUAUGGGAGGAAAUGAGACUUGUUUGGGAUCUACCGGAUGUUGAAUCUCUUCGGAGGAACGAGCCAGAUUGGUUGUUGAUGCUGAUGCAUGAGCUGAAUGAGAUACAGCGCAUGCUUGUUCUAAUGGUGCUAUGGCGGGUUUGGCACGUUCAUAAUGACCUUACACAUGAUAAACCAAUGAUUCCAAUUGAAGUUUCCAAACGCUUCCUGUGUGGAUAUGCUGAGUCUCUACUUAUGAUAAAACAUUACCCACGUUCAGACCCCACCAAAGGAUAA
RNAcentral lists this ribosomal RNA (1182 nucleotides) under Triticum aestivum (bread wheat). Its description in RNAcentral is "partial small subunit ribosomal RNA". The record is from RNAcentral. Lineage: Eukaryota; Viridiplantae; Streptophyta; Magnoliopsida; Poales; Poaceae.